CUUCUAUUUCGCGGGGGUGGAGUCGGUGGGAGGGAGGGGAGGCGGGCCUCAUUUCUGGGACACCAUGUCCGAGUCUGAGGAGAGCCUGGACCGGCAACUGAAAAUCGUCGUGCUGGGGGACGGCACCUCCGGGAAGACCUCCUUAGCUACCUGUUUUGCUCAAGAAACUUUUGGGAAACAGUACAAACUAUUGGAUUGGAUUUCUUUUUGACAAGAAUAACAUUGCCAGGAAGCUUGAAUGUUACUCUUCAAAUCUGGGACAUAGGAGGGCAGACAAUAGAAGGCAGGAUGUUGGAUAAAUAUAUCUAUGGAGCACAGGGAGUCCUCUUGGUAUAUGAUGUUACAAAUUAUCAAAGCUUUGAGAAUUUAGAAGAUUGGUAUUCUGUGGUGAAGAAAGUGAGUGAGGAGUCAGAAACUCAGCCCCUGGUUGCCUUGGUGGGCAAUAAAAUUGAUUUGGAGCAUAUGCGAACAGUAAAACCUGAAAAACACUUAAGAUUUUGCCAGGAAAAUGGUUUUAGUAGCCACUUUGUCUCAGCAAAGACAGGAGACUCUGUCUUCCUGUGUUUUCAGAAAGUUGCUGCUGAAAUCCUUGGAUUCAAGUUAAAGCAGAAAUAGAACAAUCACAGAGAGUGGUGAAGGCAGAUAUUGUAAACUACAACCAGGAACCCAUGUCAAGAACUGUUAACCCUACUAGAAGCUCUAUGUGUGCAGUUCAGUGAGCACAUUUUUCUUUUGUAUUGAUAGUUCUGACUGCCCUUCACCUCUGUGUGGGCCCCAGGGAGCUCUAGGAACUUGUUUUAUCAGUGACCAUCUCUGUAGUUCAGUUAACACUUUCUGCUCAACUUGCUUCAUCAUUGCUUGUUGCCUCAGCCACAGGACUUGGACUGGAAAGAAUUCAACUUCGGGACCACACACUUUGAAUUCAGCUUGGAAAGCCCAUUCUCUGGAAUCAGACUGCUCCAUUGAGAAAGAAUAAUGUUGGCUCUCUUAUGGCCUCACUUCUUUUGUCUGUGAUGUAAAUUUUUUUUUUAAACAAAUAUGAAAACUAUCCAGGUCUUGAUCAUCAGCCAGGAUUUUGCUGCAGCACAGUUUCAUUCUCUUAUCUGAACUCAUACCUGGCAAAGUAUGCUUCAGAGUGCAAACAUCUGAAUGAGUCAUAUAUUUUAUCUACUGAUACUUAAGAAAGGAUGCUUUUGCUAUCUCUUGUGAGUAAAAAUAUAUAAAGCGGUAUCUAACUGAAAAUGCUUGAAAUAAAGCUGUAAUAGAAAAAAAAAAGUGAAAGAGGAGAGUGAAAAAGCUUACUUAAAACUCAACAUUCAAAAAACUAAG
Odocoileus virginianus texanus is the source of this 1329-nucleotide non-coding RNA. The record is from RefSeq and is a predicted model, not a curated record. Lineage: Eukaryota; Metazoa; Chordata; Mammalia; Artiodactyla; Cervidae.